AGAGUUUGAUCAUGGCUCAGAUUGAACGCUGGCGGCAGGCCUAACACAUGCAAGUCGAACGGUAACAGGAAGAAGCUUGCUUCUUUGCUGACGAGUGGCGGACGGGUGAGUAAUGUCUGGGAAACUGCCUGAUGGAGGGGGAUAACUACUGGAAACGGUAGCUAAUACCGCAUAACGUCGCAAGACCAAAGAGGGGGACCUUCGGGCCUCUUGCCAUCGGAUGUGCCCAGAUGGGAUUAGCUAGUAGGUGGGGUAACGGCUCACCUAGGCGACGAUCCCUAGCUGGUCUGAGAGGAUGACCAGCCACACUGGAACUGAGACACGGUCCAGACUCCUACGGGAGGCAGCAGUGGGGAAUAUUGCACAAUGGGCGCAAGCCUGAUGCAGCCAUGCCGCGUGUAUGAAGAAGGCCUUCGGGUUGUAAAGUACUUUCAGCGGGGAGGAAGGGAGUAAAGUUAAUACCUUUGCUCAUUGACGUUACCCGCAGAAGAAGCACCGGCUAACUCCGUGCCAGCAGCCGCGGUAAUACGGAGGGUGCAAGCGUUAAUCGGAAUUACUGGGCGUAAAGCGCACGCAGGCGGUUUGUUAAGUCAGAUGUGAAAUCCCCGGGCUCAACCUGGGAACUGCAUCUGAUACUGGCAAGCUUGAGUCUCGUAGAGGGGGGUAGAAUUCCAGGUGUAGCGGUGAAAUGCGUAGAGAUCUGGAGGAAUACCGGUGGCGAAGGCGGCCCCCUGGACGAAGACUGACGCUCAGGUGCGAAAGCGUGGGGAGCAAACAGGAUUAGAUACCCUGGUAGUCCACGCCGUAAACGAUGUCGACUUGGAGGUUGUGCCCUUGAGGCGUGGCUUCCGGAGCUAACGCGUUAAGUCGACCGCCUGGGGAGUACGGCCGCAAGGUUAAAACUCAAAUGAAUUGACGGGGGCCCGCACAAGCGGUGGAGCAUGUGGUUUAAUUCGAUGCAACGCGAAGAACCUUACCUGGUCUUGACAUCCACGGAAGUUUUCAGAGAUGAGAAUGUGCCUUCGGGAACCGUGAGACAGGUGCUGCAUGGCUGUCGUCAGCUCGUGUUGUGAAAUGUUGGGUUAAGUCCCGCAACGAGCGCAACCCUUAUCCUUUGUUGCCAGCGGUCCGGCCGGGAACUCAAAGGAGACUGCCAGUGAUAAACUGGAGGAAGGUGGGGAUGACGUCAAGUCAUCAUGCCCCUUACGACCAGGGCUACACACGUGCUACAAUGGCGCAUACAAAGAGAAGCGACCUCGCGAGAGCAAGCGGACCUCAUAAAGUGCGUCGUAGUCCGGAUUGGAGUCUGCAACUCGACUCCAUGAAGUCGGAAUCGCUAGUAAUCGUGGAUCAGAAUGCCACGGUGAAUACGUUCCCGGGCCUUGUACACACCGCCCGUCACACCAUGGGAGUGGGUUGCAAAAGAAGUAGGUAGCUUAACCUUCGGGAGGGCGCUUACCACUUUGUGAUUCAUGACUGGGGUGAAGUCGAAACAAGGUA
This 1500-nucleotide ribosomal RNA is filed under the name metagenome. RNAcentral describes it as "bacterial SSU rRNA". It matches the Rfam family "Bacterial small subunit ribosomal RNA". The record is from RNAcentral.